CUUUGGGAUCCGGGUGUUCCUUUGGGGUUGAGGCUGUUGGGAUCCGGGUGUUCUUUUUGGGAUUGGGGUGUGGUUUAUGGGAUUUGGGUGUUGGGAUCCGGGGGUACUUUUGGGGUUGACAUUGUUGGGAUCUGGGUGUACUUUUGGGGUUGAGGUUGUUGGGAUCCGGGUGUUCUUUUGAGAUGGGGUGUGGUUUGUUGGGAUUUGAGUGUUGGGAUCUGGGUGUUGUUUUUGGGAUCCGGGUGUUCUGUUUGGGUUGAGGUUGUUGGGGUUUGGGUGUUGGGAUUUGGGUGUUCCAUUGGAAUCCGGGUGUUCCUUUGGGGUCCAGGUGUUGUUUUGGGAUCUGGGUGUGGUUUAUGGGAUUUGGGUGUUGGGAUCUGGGUGUUCUUUUGGGAUUCGGGUGUUCCUUUGGGGUUGAGGUUGUUGGGAUCCGGGUGUUCCUUUGGGAUUUGGGUGUUGGGGUUUGGGUGUUGUUUGUUGGGAUGUGGGUGCACACCGUGUUCACCAAGAAGGACGACAAGAAGGACAAGCGGAAGAGCCUGGAGCCCUGGAAGCUCUACGCCACCGUGGGCGGCCUGGUGGCCUUCGACGUGGUCACGCUGAGCGUGUGGCAGAUCGUGGANUGGGUGUGGUUUGUUGGGAUUUGGGUGUUCCCUUGGGAUCCGAGUGUUGUUUGUUAAGAUUUGGGUGUUUGGGGUCCGAGUGUUGUUUUUGGGAUCCGGGUUGGGUUGAGGUUGUUGGGAUUUGGGUGUUUCUUUGGGGUUCCGGUUGUUGGGAUCCGGGUGUGGUUUGUUGGGAUCCGGGUGUUCCUCUGGGAUUUUGGUGUUGGGAUUUGGGUGUUCCUUCAGGAUCUGGGUGUUCCUUUGGGGUCCAGGUGUUGUUUUGGGAUCCGGGUGUGGUUUGUUGGGAUUUGGGUGCUCCCUUGGGGUCCGAGUGUUGUUUUUGGGAUCCGGGUGUUCUGUUUGGGUUGAGGUUGUUGGGAUUUGGGUGUUGUUAAUCCGGGUGUUCCAUUGGGGUUGAGGUUGUUGGGAUCCGGGUGUUCCUUUGGGGUCCAGGUGUUCUUUUUGGGAUCUGGGUGUUGUUUUUUGGGAUUUGGGUGUUGGGAUUUGGGUGUUCCAUUGGGGUUGAGGUUGUUGGGAUCCGGGUGUUCCUUUGGGGUCCAGGUGUUGUUUUGGGAUCCGAUUGCAGAUUUUUGGGAUUUGGGUGUUGUUUGUUGGGGUUUGGGUGUUGGGAUCCGGUUGUUCCAUUGGGGUUGAGGUUGUUGGAUCUGAGUGUUCCUUUGGGAUCUGGGUGUGGUUUUUUGGGGUUUUGUUGUUGGGAUCCGGGUGUUCUUUUUGGGUUGAGGUUGUUGGGAUUUGGGUGUUGGGCUCUGGGUGUUCCUUUGGGAUCCGGGUGUUGUUUUUUGGGAUUUGGGUGUUGGGAUCUGAGUGUUGCUUUGGGAUCGGGUGUUCUUUUUGAGAUCUGGGUGUUGGGGUUUGGGUGUUGUUUGUUGGGAUGUGGGCGCACACCGUGUUCACCAAGAAGGACAAGCGGAAGGCGAGGACGGAACAGGCGGACGGGGGAUGGGGGUUCCUUUGGGAUCCGGGUGUUCUUUUUGGGAUCCGGGUGUGAUUUUUUGGGAUUUGGGUGUUGGGAUUUGGGUGUUGUUUGUUGGGAUUUGGGUGCACACCGUGUUCACCAAGAAGGACGACAAGAAGGACAAGCGGAA
Molecule: long non-coding RNA, 1708 nt
Filed under: Zonotrichia albicollis (white-throated sparrow)
Lineage: Eukaryota; Metazoa; Chordata; Aves; Passeriformes; Passerellidae
Description: lncRNA (ENSZALG00000001800.1)
Source: RNAcentral